UACGGAGGGUGCAAGCGUUAAUCGGAAUUACUGGGCGUAAAGCGUACGUAGGCGGCUUGUUAAGCAAGAUGUGAAAGCCCCGGGCUCAACCUGGGAAUGGCAUUUUGAACUGGCAGGCUCGAGUUCUGAAGAGGGUGGUAGAAUUUCCUGUGUAGCGGUGAAAUGCGUAGAUAUAGGAAGGAAUACCGGUGGCGAAGGCGGCCACCUGGUCAGAAACUGACGCUGAGGUA
This 230-nucleotide ribosomal RNA is filed under the name uncultured microorganism. RNAcentral describes it as "partial 16S ribosomal RNA". It matches the Rfam family "Bacterial small subunit ribosomal RNA", at positions 524 to 753 of the family's 1533-position model. The record is from RNAcentral.